AGUCCUGCACCGGGCUCCCAGCCCCAUGGACUGGAAGUUCCAAAGAGGAUACUGCCAGAAGAGAUUGGGGUAAUGAAUACUAAUACUAACACUAAUGUUUUCAAAUUUAUGUAAUAACACCUUACAAUUUCUCAACAUAGUCAUCUGU
Mustela erminea (ermine) is the source of this 148-nucleotide long non-coding RNA. RefSeq lists it as uncharacterized. The transcript has 3 exons. The record is from RefSeq and is a predicted model, not a curated record. Lineage: Eukaryota; Metazoa; Chordata; Mammalia; Carnivora; Mustelidae.